GGAGGCUCGGACCAACUAGUCCUGCUUACACUAAGUGGCUUGGUCUCUGGUUCAUCAGGACUGGUUUCUGCAUAUCUGCAAGGUUCCUUGCUCAUCACGGGCACCACCACCCAUGGCGAAACUCCAGGUCCCCACAGUGGACCAUGAAGAAAAAUACAGCUUGCCACCUGCCAGGCCAGAUUCCUCAGCAAGACACUUGAUGCCAGCAAGAGCAGGAAUGCUCAGGACGGGGAGCCCAGCUUUGGGCAUGGCACACAUGCAUGAAGCUGCUGUCAGAGUCUGGAUUUCCAGUUAGGAGCCAGAUGCUUUUGUCUGUGGAUGUGUGCCUUAAUGUGGUAUUGGAGCCAAUGUGAUGAAGGUUGUUUCUACUGCAAGAAGAAAAUUGUGGCAGAGUCACUUUUCCCAUGAAAUAGUUACAAGACUGUUUCCUUGGAUGCAGCAGAAGCUAAACAGCAGGAAGCAGAUCCUUUAAUUGUCUCCACCAAGCUUCUGCCACCCAGAGCUCAGCUGAAGAGGCUCUUAAUUUCAGACUUGCUCAGAGACACAUUCCCUGCUUUUCUCCUGGACCUCAAGACAGAAUAUUUCCUUGUUGCUUUAUCUCAUGUUUUCUCUCAUCUUUUCUGUUGUUCUUUAAUAUAUUUCUAACAUGCACUGAACAUUGGCCGUAGCAGCUUCUUCUCUCACACAUGGCUGGUAUGUCUCUCUGCUACAGAUAUUGACUUGCUCCUGUGUUUGGGGUGGGGAUUUCUACUGUUUGUGUGGUCUAGCUACAUGGAUACCCUUUUCUAUGGAACUGCCUUAAAUGAGGGACAAAUACAUACUAUUUAAAGUAUAAAA
Molecule: long non-coding RNA, 837 nt
Organism: Colius striatus (speckled mousebird)
Lineage: Eukaryota; Metazoa; Chordata; Aves; Coliiformes; Coliidae
Exons: 2
Source: RefSeq, a predicted model, not a curated record